This is a long non-coding RNA of Callithrix jacchus (white-tufted-ear marmoset), 1084 nucleotides long. NCBI's taxonomy places the organism in Eukaryota, Metazoa, Chordata, Mammalia, Primates, Cebidae. The record is from Ensembl.
CCUGGGGGAGCCUGCAGUGCACCCGAGUGUCAGCAUCUGGGACCGAAUUCCAGGUGCCUUCUCGGCCAGACCUGCAGUGCAGCUGUGCCUGCUGUGGGGGGGUGGAGGUGGGCAGAGGAGGGGUGCGGGCUCCUGUGCCCUCACCUUGGUGAGUGUGGAGGGCUCUGUUAUUGCCUUUGAGUAUGUAAAUGUCUCCCAGCGGGGCUGCGUGGGACUCUUCCACCAGGUUUUGCCUGGAAUGGGGGCCCUGGGGGCCCUGCCCUGUCGCCCCUGCUGUCCUUCUGGCCCUUGCUCCUGUCUCUCUGGCUCCUGGAUGACCUGUCAGCCUCUGCAUUGUCACUUUGGGGUUUGGAGGGAUCACAGCGCUUUCUGCCUGAGGCACCACUGCCCCCCUCAGAGCCUCAGUUUCUCCACUGUGAGGCAGGGGCACCUGUGUCUCCCUUGACGCAGAGCCUGACCUGGGGGCAUCCCUAGUGAAUCCCGCGCCCAGCCCCUGCCCCCCGCCUGCCUUGGGCCCUGCGGUGUCCUGGGCGGUGGACAUGGCCACCAUGUCACAGACAUGAUGAGGCCCAGGGGCCUGAGUCAGUGGCUGCCCACACUCAUGCCACAGUGCCAGCCCUCCCUGAUCCACUGAGCAAGGGGCUUUUCUGCAGCUGCGUGGCGGUCACUUGGCCAGGAGUGGUCUCUGCAGGCGACACAGCGGGAGCAGGACAGGCCACUCACAGCCAGCCAGGAACUGUGGGACGGAAUCUCAGGCCUCAUACCCGCCCCAGGCAGGCACGGCCCCUGGGCCCUCAGGUUGCCUCACGGACUGUUUGCUGUGACGUAGCACAGCCCUCUGUCUUCCCACCUUCGGGGUGUCUCAGUUGUCUGCUCACUGGUUGGCUCCAUGCCGAGCAGACUCGACGCACGUCAGUGCUGGCUGUGGUGGCACCAUCGCAGUGACCUCCCUCUUGGUGAAGGGGGUUCUGCUGUUCCCAGGAAGCUGCUGACUGCUCCUGGGUGUGCCUGACAUGCAGCUGCUCUCUUCGAGGGGUGGGCACGGGCACCCUCAGGCCUGAGGCUCUGCCGUCCUCACUGCUGA